GGGGGGAGCCGUAGCGCCCCUCUACGUCGGUCCGGCUGGUGCACUCAUGGUGCAGUAGGUGUUCCAGGAGUUUCCAUGGCAUACUGAAGACAGCGGUAGGAUAAACUGCCCCCCUCCCCUCCAAGACACCCUUGGCCCAACGAUUGGUCAUACUUUUCUUCUGCAACUUGGCAAAGCAGUGGUCACACACUCUGGCCGGCCGGUUCUUCAGGUACUCCAGGUAGUGCUUGUUGGAGGAGCACGUUUGGCAGACCACCUGCGGGAGACCGUGGGAAGCUUAACACUCAAAGCUAACCAGGAUUCGCCAGGCCAAGUGCAUUCUGGGAAGGUUUUUGGGGUAAUACAAGAAGAUGAACUUCUGUAAUCCUGACAUGAAACCCAAUAAAACUACUUGUAAGGUUAA
Molecule: non-coding RNA, 403 nt
Organism: Paramormyrops kingsleyae
Lineage: Eukaryota; Metazoa; Chordata; Actinopteri; Osteoglossiformes; Mormyridae
Source: RefSeq, a predicted model, not a curated record